Molecule: ribosomal RNA, 216 nt
Filed under: Glomeromycotina sp.
Lineage: Eukaryota; Fungi; Glomeromycota
Description: partial small subunit ribosomal RNA
Rfam family: Eukaryotic small subunit ribosomal RNA (bases 40-216)
Source: RNAcentral
GGGUCAGUAGGUUGGUCGUGCCACCGGUACGUACUGGUCUCACUGAUUCCUCCUUCCUGAAGAACCUUAAUGCCAUUAAUUUGGUGUUGCGGGGAAACAGGACUGUUACUUUGAAAAAAUUAGCGUGUUUAAAGCAGGCUAACGCUUGAAUACAUUAGCAUGGAAUAAUGAAAUAGGACGAUCGAUCCUAUUUUGUUGGUUUCUAGGAUUGACGUA